AGAGUUUGAUCCUGGCUCAGGACGAACGCUGGCGGCAUGCCUAAUACAUGCAAGUCGAACGAUGAUAUCACUGCUUGCAGUGAUUGAUUAGUGGCGAACGGGUGAGUAACACGUGAGGAACUUGCCCAUGAGCGGGGGACAACAUUCGGAAACGGAUGCUAAUACCCCAUAGGUGGAUUGGUCGCAUGACGAAUUCAUUAAAGGUGGCUUUGCUACCACUCAUGGAUAGCCUCGCGGCGUAUUAGCUAGUUGGUAAGGUAAUGGCUUACCAAGGCGGCGACGGGUAGCCGGCCUGAGAGGGUGGACGGCCACAUUGGGACUGAGACACGGCCCAGACUCCUACGGGAGGCAGCAGUGGGGAAUAUUGCACAAUGGGCGGAAGCCUGAUGCAGCGACGCCGCGUGGGGGAUGACGGCCUUCGGGUUGUAAACUCCUUUCACCAUCGACGAAGGUUUUCUGACGGUAGAUGGAGAAGAAGCACCGGCUAACUACGUGCCAGCAGCCGCGGUAAUACGUAGGGUGCGAGCGUUGUCCGGAAUUACUGGGCGUAAAGAGCUCGUAGGUGGUUUGUCGCGUCGUCUGUGAAAUUCCGGGGCUUAACUCCGGGCGUGCAGGCGAUACGGGCAUAACUUGAGUACUGUAGGGGAGACUGGAAUUCCUGGUGUAGCGGUGAAAUGCGCAGAUAUCAGGAGGAACACCGGUGGCGAAGGCGGGUCUCUGGGCAGUAACUGACGCUGAGGAGCGAAAGCAUGGGUAGCGAACAGGAUUAGAUACCCUGGUAGUCCAUGCCGUAAACGGUGGGCGCUAGGUGUAGGGGUCUUCCACGACUUCUGUGCCGUAGCUAACGCAUUAAGCGCCCCGCCUGGGAGUACGGCCGCAAGGCUAAAACUCAAAUGAAUUGACGGGA
This 907-nucleotide ribosomal RNA is filed under the name uncultured Actinomycetes bacterium. RNAcentral's name for it is "bacterial SSU rRNA". It matches the Rfam family "Bacterial small subunit ribosomal RNA", at positions 8 to 918 of the family's 1533-position model. Lineage: Bacteria; Bacillati; Actinomycetota; Actinomycetes. The record is from RNAcentral.